RNAcentral lists this ribosomal RNA (421 nucleotides) under uncultured eukaryote. Its description in RNAcentral is "SSU rRNA". It matches the Rfam family "Eukaryotic small subunit ribosomal RNA", at positions 592 to 1018 of the family's 1831-position model. The record is from RNAcentral.
CAAUAGCGUAUAUUAAAGUUGUUGCGGUAAAAAAGCUCGUAGUUGGAUUUCUGCUGAGGAUGGGCGGUCCGCUCACUGAGCGUGUAUCUGCUUCAGCCUUGGCAUCCUCUCGUUAAUCGUUUCUGCGCUUGAUUGCGUGGGGCGGGUGGCGGGACUUUUACUUUGAGGAAAUUAGAGUGUUCACGGCAGGCUAUCGCCAGAAUACAUUAGCAUGGAAUAAUACUAUAGGAUCUUGGUCCUAUUUUGUUGGUUUCUAGGAUUAAGAUAAUGAUUAAUAGGGACAAUUGGGGGCAUUCGUAUCAACACGUCAGAGGUGGAAUUCUUGGAUUGUGUUGCGACGAACUACUGCGAAAGCAUUUGCCAAGGAUGUUUUCAUUGAUCAAGAACGAAAGUUAGGGGAUCAAAGACGAUCAGAUACCAU